This is a long non-coding RNA of Scophthalmus maximus (turbot), 6024 nucleotides long. RefSeq lists it as uncharacterized. NCBI's taxonomy places the organism in Eukaryota, Metazoa, Chordata, Actinopteri, Pleuronectiformes, Scophthalmidae. The transcript has 2 exons. The record is from RefSeq and is a predicted model, not a curated record.
GAGUGGAGGGUGGACGGGAGAGGGGAGAGGGGAGAGAGGGGAGAGGGGCAGCUGCAGGGUAGGACAGCAAAUACAACACGACUAAGACAAACAAAACAGCUGAUGGAGUGACCGGACCUGUCAGAAAACAUGGGGGGCAGGUCGAACGUGAGGGGAAGAUACAAGAUCACUCAUCAUUCAUCUCAUCAGCAACAACAACAACAACAACAACAAGGUGCCUCUACACUGGGGUGUUUGUCACCAGGCAGUGACAGUCGUGUGGACUCCGAGUGAAGGACAGUGAGAAGGUGAGACGACAUGUGGACUUGAAACCAGAGCAGAGAGGGUUCUGAAUCCCUCGCUGGCCGCAUUCUUCCCUGAUUCUGCUCAAUUUCUGGACUCUAACCUGCAGCAAACAUGUCUCUCUUCUUUCUUUCUUUCUUUCUUUCUUCCUUUCUUUUUUUUUUUUGGCGUGCGCUCGACAGCGCCCCCUCUCUGUUGCAAAACGGAAAAGCAGCGAGCGAGGAGAAAAACAACUUUGAUUGGCAGUCCAGCUCGGCCAGCAAUAACAGCACAAUAAAAAAGUCGCCCAACAUUUUUUGCAGGACGGCAAAGAGCAAACGCGGAGAAAACAUGCCAGUCGGCCGUCGUCCUUUGCACUGCGUCUCUUUAUCUUAUCCACGACCAUAUUAAUGUGGCAGCACUUUACUUUGAGACAUUUCUCUCCCGAGUCCUCGGAUGAUGUCAUCCUCACCUACACGCACUGCGCCUCGGCUCCUCGCUGCAGGACAGCGUUAUAACAGUCUGCUAAAAGAAAUCCCGGUAAUAUUAAAUACAUAUUUUUAAGAAACCCCCUCCAAUCCCUCCCCGGGUCCUUUCGCCCCCCCGCCGGUCCCGUCCCGGGGACGUUAGCGUCACGGUGGACUUGUAAAGUGACAAUGUUGCAGUUCAUUCGCCUCAAUGUUCACGCUGGCAGCUCAAAGGUGUCGCGACGUGCCGAUGGAGCAGCUCGGUGUGGAAUAUACAACGCGUAACGACCUGGAGUCGAGGAGUUCAAUGGAAUCUAAAAUAAAGACCAUGUCUUGUGUUCGUUUCUAACACCGGCGCGCCAGCUGCGGGCCGUGCGCUCGCAGCCGCUGAAACGUCCCCGACUCUGGGGUAAUAAAGGGAAAAGUUGACAGACUCGACCGAAGUGCAGCCACGAGUCUCCGUGUGGAUGUCGAGUGUCCGCUGCUCGGGCUUCUCGGUUCAAACCGAAGCGAACCGCGACACAGGGAGCAGUUCGACACACUCGCCUGGUACCUGCUCCUUCCUGUGUGUGUACACAGACUGCGGUUCCUUCUAGAUGAAACCGUGGACAAAUGAAUGGGGAAGCAGCUGCUCGGUUAGCCCCGCUAGCUCCGACUGAGUGCGACUGGUCCGCUUUUCCAGCCUCGCGUACAAUGUCGCGUUCCACCGACCUGUUUCUGGACUCGCUGGCACUGGGUUCUCAGGGGGUACUCCAUUUUAUUCGCGCAGAUGAUCAUUUUCCACAAAAAAAAUAAACGCGUCUGCUAUUGCACGGACGCGGCUUCUGUCGUGUCUUCUCCUGGUGCCUCUGCUGUGAGCUAACAAAAGGCUGUGGAGCCCCCGUCCGCCCGGCCGCCGUCGACCCGUCGGUGCGCCGCUGGAGACUGCGCAGGGGAGGAAAGCUUCCCGGAGCAGAGCUGACAGCUCCGGUAACAGUGUGGCCAAUCAGCGCGCAGGGGGGCGGGGCGGGGCGGGGCGGCCCGACCGACUCAAGGGUUCGCAUCCAAAUGCUAAUGAACAUCUGCAAACAACAGCGCAGCAGCAGAGGGUGAAAACAGGCCGGACGAUCUCGGCCAGACUUCGGACUUCAUGCACAGUUCAUGGGACCGAAUGUGGGAUCAUCAACCGGCUGAAGUGGGCUCCUGACCCGCGGACCACCCAAAACACAAUAUAUGGGCAAAAGUAUUUGAUUAUGAUUUCGUGAUGCACAGCAAUGAAUACAGCACAAAAACACUGGAUCCUAAACUUCCCAUGAUGCAACUGUUGAUGUGGUUAGCAUCUUUUUUUAUGAGAGCCUCCCUGUCUAAUAAAGGCCCAAGUCUUAUAAACUCCAUGUCGACAUCUGAACCUUGGCAUUCAGUCAUUAGGUCCUUAUCCACAAUGACACAAUCCCAGGGUUUUGGUUUCUGAUUCUGCACGGAGCUCCUUCAGAGACACACAACAAGAGUAGACUAUCUUCGACAAGUAAAUUAUUUCUGACAAUAGUUUGCUCCCAGUUUGUCAGUGAAGAGUCUGAAUGACCUCAACCCAGUAAAAAUGCAAAUGAAAAAAAAAAUGCUCCAGCCUUGGUUUAUACAACCAAGUCUGGAGCAGUAACCUAACUAGAGUCAAGAUGUAAUUUCAAAGCCUUACAGUGGAAUAAAAUUAGGUAGAUCUCAACGAAUAGAUUCAUAUAAUCCAUCUUAUCCUUUACUGAAUAUAUGCAUCCAAGUCCAAGACUUGCAUGAGAGUUAAAUCUCAGUCUCGCUGUCAUAAAUCAAAUCAUUUAAAGGUAACAUAAUGAUGCAUCAUCCAUGCUUGUAUCUUUAUCUUAAUACAUAACAAGCGUUGAAAACAGUCCCUCUCGCCAUGUGAUGUCCACUACUGGCCACUGCAUUCUGGCUGCUGUGAUUGACCCUCUGUGGGUUUAUUCACUCCAUUCUUGUUUUAAUGAAUGGGGCGCUUGUUCUUUAUCAGAAAUUUUGGAAUUGCGUUGGUUCAAAUCGUGUUGUUUUUCUGUCUGAGCGCAGGAGUCGUGACUCCCAUUUGAGUUUGUUGCACUCGAGAUUCUUAUCAACUCCACUCACUCUACUAACUGAAGCAAAAAUGCAAGUGUGCACAAAUAUGAACAAAACAUGCGGAAAUAGAUUCAAUCUAAAUUAUAUAAGGGACGAAUAAGAUGCAUCUCUAAUACAUGCACUUUGAGAUUGCUUUUAGCAAUGAAAAGUGCUCUAUAAAUGAAAUGUAUUAUUAUUAUUAUUACAGCAGUUUUAAGGUUGUCAUGACUGGAGAUACAUGUAAAGCCCAUAACCCAACUAUAUACCAUUACAGAUCAUACACUAAUAACUUGAUGUAUCAUAUAACACAAGUUUCACAUGUAAAUAAAUCUGGAGGCUUCAGCUUGGGGGGAAAACAAGCAACUGUAGACUACUGUCCGUCUAUCAGAUUAACAUGCAGUUUGCAAAAACAUCAUGUGAAUCUUCAUGGAGUGGCAGGCAGAACCAGUCGAUGCCAAAUAACUCCUGUUGUAUCAAAUCAAGAAAAAAAAGGAAAAAAAGCUUGUGACUCGGUCUCAAACAUCUGCAGGGUUUUCAUUGAGGGAUUAAGUGUAGACUGAGAGUUCUAUUUGUGCCCGUCUUCAUCAAAAUCACCAUGCGUUGCUAUGUAACUUGUCCCCUCCUCCCCCUUUUUGUAGUCAUGUGUUAAAAUUAACCACUUCCUUUUUUUAAACUGAGGUGGUACAACAGCUGCCUGGACUAAACCACAGAAUCAGAGACUAAAGCUGUCAUGCUUCAGAUCUUGCACUCUUCAAAAAGGACACAUUUUAUGUUUGAGAGCUCAAGGAGAAGUGAAGAAAACCCCUCUGUCCCAGAUGGUUUCAUAUCGCGGUGAAUCUGACAUUUCCACAGAAAUUAAUCAAAACACAAACAGCAUGCACUUUCUUAAGAAGGAAGUCUUAAAGGGGUUUAUUCCUCAUGUACAACGGUGAUGUGAGGUGUGACACACUCUUCCAAAAGGCCAACUGUACCUGAAGAAAUUUGGGGAAUUCACACCCAUAGAAUAAAAACAAAAUGCUGGUGAAAUCAGUGUUUUAACCUGUAUUUCUAUUUAUCCUGUCAGUAAAAACCAGCUUGUUGGUUGAUUAAUUAAAGUCGCUGCUUAAUCUUUCUGCCUCGUUUCCCGUCGUGGACUGUAUAUAAACAGGUCAUGACUCUACAUUCUGUUCAGAUGUGGAGCAUCUAAACUAAACUACGUGCUGCUUUUCACUCAACAUUUCCUGUUUAACAAAACUCUACUAGUGAAGAAACAACACAACAGUGUUGGACCAAGAUCAACACUUCCUAAAUUGAACGGUAUUUCUCUCGUCAUAGCAGGUUUGCAAAGAUCAACCUAGUCAGUCAGUCAGUCAGUCAGUCAGUCAGUCAGUCAACACCAGCUGAACAAGGCGGAAAAUAAUCUGUCUUCAAUUUAAACACCAACAAAAUAAAACCUAACAGAAUUUCAUCUGAAAUUUCUGUUCCUAGGCUGUUUAAAUAAACAAGCGUACAGAUCUUGGCUGCGCCGCGGAUGAUUUAUGACAGCCUCUCACACAGUGAUCGCUGGAGCAGAUGGUGGUGCCUCAUAUCCGAGCAAAGAAAACAUUUGAAGAUGCAUCUUCUCUCCUACUGUUGUGCAGAGAUACACAGACAGACUGAGGUAGACAAAAGGUCAUGCCAGAUAUUUAGCAUCUAUAACCGGUGUACAGACAUUUAUUAAAGGGUUUAUAACACAGUAAGGUAUAGUUUUAGCAGAUGUGUGUUUAAUCAUGCAUGUGUUAAGGACUACAAGUCCUCCUGUGGGUGGGGGCCCAAGAGUGGCUACUGGUGUAUGAACAUAAUUAAUGAACAUAAACAGUAAAACUUGUAACAUCUAAAUGUUUUUUUAUGUUGCUAUAGUUGUUGACACAUACUACAUUAUUUAAUACUUAAAAUGUCCUCAUACUACAUUAUUGUGUGUUAUAAACCAUUUAUCCAACAUUAUCUUUACAUGCUGCUAAUAAAUGGUAAAUAGACACUGGAGGCCCAUGCCACUUGGUGCUGGGAUGACAAAUGACAAUCAACCUACAAGGUCACAGAUUUAAACAUUAUCUCACCCUUGUGGCAAGAAUUGGUACAACCUGCCUCAUUCUGAUGCAGCAAAUUGCUUCGGUGUCUCUGCAGAUCAGAACUAUUUACAUUUAACUGGCUCCCCGUCUAUAUAAGUGAUGUGAUCUUAUAUCCCAUGUACAGUGGAGGUUCAGUUAUUCAGAAUUUGCUCCACAAUAAAGACUAUGGAGUUUUGGGUUCCUCCAGCACAUGCCCAUGACCUUCAGUAAAAUGAUGGUGUAUUAAACAGAUUGCAAAGAAUUAGAAAUAACGAGUGGGAGAAAUGCAGACUCUCUUACAGGCUGUUGAGACUUCACUCUGUGUCAAACACAAAUACACAGCCUCUUUCCCCUCAUACCAUAAAGACUAAAGCUGGUACCAGCUUCAUAAAACAGAUGCCAUAAGUCGUUAUGUCUAAAAUUAGAGGAUUACAUUGAGCAUAAAUUUUCCAUCCCUAGAUUUGCAAACCAGCUGUUUGGGUGACAACGAAUAUAAAACGAGACGCAGCAGAUUCAGUUAGUGUGCUUUAAUAACAAAUAAAUCCUGAAGUUUGUGGAGUCUUCGCACCAAUGCAGACUUUGUUCUAAGUGCAGCGAUGCCUUCAACUCUCUGAACUGCUGGGUUUUUGAAAAAAAACUAACUCCUUUGUAUAUAUUAAAAAAAACAAAUAUCUAGAAGAAAAAAUUCACAACGUGCAUAAGGAUGUUAAAUUAGACAUUAUUAUUUAUUGCAUUACAGUAAUAGAAAAGAUUUAAAUGUUCAGCAGUGUCAGAAUCUACUACACAAACAGAAAAGAGGCAGUUCUACAAAUUAAAGUUUUACUGAACACCGAGGGCUUUGUCUAGGAAGUUGGCAAAAUGUUGUGGCCGUCCAGGUAAGAAGGGCUGGAGAACAGACAGAUCCAUGGUCGUCAGCGUUUCUGUCAGCGUGCUGAAACAUUUAUCAAGAGGGAGCAGGUUAUCAUAACCUUGUAUGAUAACAUUGUAUGUAUAAAGUGUAGCAGGUGUGUGGGGAACAAAUACCUGCAUGUGCAGUACAACAGGUGGGAGUCUGCGUGUAGCUGCCUGGCCAGCUCUAGUUGGUGGUUGUUCAUCAGCUUGUCAUUGACGACGACCAGCAGAGGUUUGCCUGCACCGAGCGCUUCCAAACAACU